AUAUAACUAAGCGGAGGAAAAGAAACUAACAAGGAUUCCCUCAGUAACGGCGAGUGAACUGGGAAGAGCUCAACUUGGUAAUCGGUGUCAACACCGAAUUGUAGUCUAGAGGGGUCUUGCCAGGUGCUCAGCGCGGUUAACUCUACCACUGAACGGUGGAUCAAAGAGGGUGACAAUCCCGUCGCCGCGCUGGAAUCCGUACGGCUGGCUUCCGCAGAGUCGAGCUGCUUGAGAGUGCAGCUCUAACUGGGUGGUAAAUUCCAUCUAAAGCUAAACAUCAGCAAGAGACCGAUAGCGCACAAGUA
Molecule: ribosomal RNA, 305 nt
Filed under: uncultured eukaryote
Lineage: Eukaryota
Description: partial large subunit ribosomal RNA
Rfam family: Eukaryotic large subunit ribosomal RNA
Source: RNAcentral